AUACAGAGGUUGCGAGCGUUAAUCGGAAUUACUGGGCGUAAAGCGCGCGUAGGCGGUCUAUUAAGUCAGAUGUGAAAUCCCAGGGCUCAACCUUGGAACUGCAUCUGAUACUGGGUAGCUAGAGUUUUGGAGAGGGAAGUAGAAUUUCAGGUGUAGCGGUGAAAUGCAUAGAGAUCUGAAGGAAUACCAGUGGCGAAGGCGACUUCCUGGCCAAAAACUGACGCUGAGGUGCGAAAGCGUGGGUAGCAAACGGGAUUAGAAACCCCAGUAGUCC
This 274-nucleotide ribosomal RNA is filed under the name uncultured bacterium. Its description in RNAcentral is "partial 16S ribosomal RNA". It matches the Rfam family "Bacterial small subunit ribosomal RNA", at positions 523 to 796 of the family's 1533-position model. The record is from RNAcentral.